CAACGACUCACUUGUGCUAAUAACAGCUGUGUUGUUAGCCAGUGUUGCUAACUUACUGAUUUUGUUGCUAGAUUUAUUUUAAGAAAACAGCAUGUUUUCUUUUUUGUGUGUUUGUUGCAAAUUACACUAAUUAAAGCCUAUUGUCCAUCAGAAUAAAACAUUAAACAAGCCAAUGAAAAAUUUACAGUAGCUUAGCCCCGCCCACUGCAUCAGAAACAAACUCGGACAUUAGGGUAUGGCAGCACCAGAGCCAACAAAGCGAAAGCUGGCAGUGGAAAGUGGGUGAGCAUGCUACUGCUGCUGAAAACAACUCUUGUGGAGACGCUAAGAGAUCCAUACAGACUGUGGACUGGUGUACCCAAUAACAGCUGAAGGGCAACCCUAAAAACACCCCUGUUUGGAUUUUGAAGUUGCUGCCUGUUUCUUUCACUUCUAACAAUGAGGAUGAUCACCACCCACCUCAUCCCCAACUUCCCAACUCAUCCCAAAAGUACUGGAUGGAGCUCCAUUAUUCCAGAGACCACAGUUACUCUGCACUACAGCUCAAGGUUGAGGCUGUAUACACUCUAACCCACGCCUGGCAUUAGGCAUGGUGCCAAUAGAGUCACCUGGAAGCUAAAGAAUGCAGCACAGACCUGCAAAAUAUGAAUGUGAGGCUUUCUUUUAUUGAAUGUGGAUGAGUAACUCGUCUGUUCACAUGGAAAAUUCUAGCCGGAUCCUGUGGGUCAGAUUAUUUACUGAAUAAGCAUAAAAAUGUAUGGCAUGAA
RNAcentral lists this long non-coding RNA (767 nucleotides) under Astyanax mexicanus (Mexican tetra). Its description in RNAcentral is "lncRNA (ENSAMXG00005017348.1)". The record is from RNAcentral. Lineage: Eukaryota; Metazoa; Chordata; Actinopteri; Characiformes; Acestrorhamphidae.